RNAcentral lists this ribosomal RNA (239 nucleotides) under uncultured Candidatus Scalindua sp. Its description in RNAcentral is "partial 16S ribosomal RNA". It matches the Rfam family "Bacterial small subunit ribosomal RNA", at positions 565 to 803 of the family's 1533-position model. Lineage: Bacteria; Pseudomonadati; Planctomycetota; Candidatus Brocadiia; Candidatus Brocadiales; Candidatus Scalinduaceae. The record is from RNAcentral.
GAGCACGUAGGUGGGUUUGUAAGUCAGAUGUGAAAGCCUUCUGUUCAACGGGAGAAUUGCAUCUGAAACUGCUAAUCUUGAGUAUAGGAGGGGAGAAUGGAACUUCUGGUGGAGCGGUGAAAUGCGUAGAUAUCAGAAGGAACGCCGGCGGCGAAAGCGAUUCUCUGGCCUAUUACUGACACUCAGUGUGCGAAAGCUAGGGGAGCAAACGGGAUUAGAUACCCCGGUAGCCAGGCAGU